UGAGGAAUAUUGGUCAAUGGGCGAGAGCCUGAACCAGCCAAGUAGCGUGCAGGAUGACGGCCCUAUGGGUUGUAAACUGCUUUUAUAUGGGAAUAAAGUGAGGGACGUGUCCCUUAUUGCAUGUACCAUAUGAAUAAGGACCUGCUAAUUCCGUGCCAGCAGCCGCGGUAAUACGGAAGGUCCAGGCGUUAUCCGGAUUUAUUGGGUUUAAAGGGAGCGUAGGCUGUUUGUUAAGCGUGUUGUGAAAUGUAAGAGCUCAACUUUUAGAUUGCAGCGCGAACUGGCAGACUUGAGUGCGCACAACGUAGGCGGAAUUCAUGGUGUAGCGGUGAAAUGCUUAGAUAUCAUGACGAACUCCGAUUGCGAAGGCAGCUUACGGGAGCGCAACUGACGCUAAAGCUCGAAGGUGCGGGUAUCGAACAGG
This 424-nucleotide ribosomal RNA is filed under the name Verrucomicrobiota bacterium. RNAcentral describes it as "Verrucomicrobia bacterium partial 16S ribosomal RNA". It matches the Rfam family "Bacterial small subunit ribosomal RNA", at positions 355 to 776 of the family's 1533-position model. The record is from RNAcentral. Lineage: Bacteria; Pseudomonadati; Verrucomicrobiota.